RNAcentral lists this ribosomal RNA (281 nucleotides) under uncultured bacterium. RNAcentral's name for it is "partial 16S ribosomal RNA". It matches the Rfam family "Bacterial small subunit ribosomal RNA", at positions 1208 to 1500 of the family's 1533-position model. The record is from RNAcentral.
CCGGGACACACGUGUUACAAUGGCAGGUACAGAGGGGUGCUACCGGGUGACCGGAUGCCGAUCUCGAAAACCUGUCCCAGUUCGGACUGGAGUCUGCAACCCGACUCCACGAAGUUGGAUUCGCUAGUAAUCGCGCAUCAGCCAUGGCGCGGUGAAUACGUUCCCGGGCCUUGUACACACCGCCCGUCAAGCCAUGGGAGCCGGGGGCGCCUGAAGUCCGGGACCGCGAGGACCGGCCUAAGGCGAAACUGGUGACUGGGGCUAAGUCGUAACAAGGUACC